This is a long non-coding RNA of Zingiber officinale, 1403 nucleotides long. RefSeq lists it as uncharacterized. The record is from RefSeq and is a predicted model, not a curated record. Lineage: Eukaryota; Viridiplantae; Streptophyta; Magnoliopsida; Zingiberales; Zingiberaceae. The transcript has 3 exons.
CUCUUUCUGCAAGUAAAUGAACGCAAUGAGAUAUAUUGCUUCAAAAUCAUAAGCUAGGGGUUGAUCAUAUUGGAUACGACACAGUAUUACAUCACUUAAAAAUACAGAACAUAAAUCUAAUGAUUUGAACAAGGAGCUCACCGGACCAAGGUAUGUGAUGCACUGCUGUUGAAGCUUGUUUCUCGAGCACUCCUCAAGAUUCACUUCUCUUCCAUCUCCAACAUCCAACCUAAAGAUUUUUAUCCAAAUUAAAGUUUUUUAAAAAGAAAAAACAUCAAUAUCUUUUCGGUUCGUUAACUUUUAUUAUUUUCUGCUUACCAGUAAAAGAAUGGUUGGGUGCUUUCACUUGCAAACCAGAUAUCAUAAUACAAAUGUAAGUUGUGCCCAUACCUAUGUCUUGGAUCAAUCUGCAAAUGUCAACAUUGGAUCAGUCUAUGUUUCUAAAAGAUUUGUUCAGCAGAAGAUUGUGAAACUGAGACAUGGAUUCUUACAGCUUCUAGCCAAUGUCUCAAUGCUAGUUGCUGAGCUUUCUCAUCUUUGGAGAGACCCUUACCAACCUGAAAAGGAUGAAUUCAUGAUAGAUUAGAUUAACAUGGUGAUUAAAAUCCAAUAUUUGGGCUCUAAAGUGACAGUAAGAAACAAAUCUGCAUACUCUGGCUAGUCUUUUCUUUGCCCUUGCCCACUUAGAAACUGCAGGCUCCGGCUUCUCAACGUUGAAAAAUGACACAGAGCUGCUUCUGAGAGAUGCAAAAUCAAGUGCUCUCCACCUACAAUUUGAGGAGUUCAUGACUCUGAGUCAGCAGCCAACUUAAGAAAAGAAUUGAGAUUACUAACCAGAAUUCUUCCACAAGUACUGCACAAUCUGCAAGAUUCCUCCUUGUUCUGUAACUCUUGUAGACCUUUUGCAGCGUGGUUGCUGCUGCAUCGAGUUCGCAUAAUGGCCUCGGGGAUGAGAACUCGAGCAGCUGCCGCUGGGGGAGCUCGACAAUCGGCGCUGGAAAAUUUGCUUGAAUCUUGAGUUCUUCUACGGCCUGCUUAUCAGUAGCUGCUCCUUCGAUCUUUGUCACCUGGGGCUCCCAGUGCUUGAAGCUCAGUGAUCUCUCCAUCCCUGGUACUUCGCUGGAUACCAUCUUAUUAGACGAAUCACUUCUUUUGAAACUGAUCGAUUUUCUCAAGAUCUUGUUGGAUUCUCUGUCACCAAAACUCAUAGAUCUCGCUACUGCAACCUUUGUCUCGGCCAAGCAGAAGACUUUAUUACUCAUGACAAUUGCAGAACCUAGAAUUCACAGGAUAUUGGAGAGGAGGGAACAGAGGAUUCUCUAUAAAAUGUGAAGAACAGGACAAGAACAAGAUCAGAGAUUUGAGAACUCUACCUGACUACUAUUUGAUCCGAUCGACGAGAA